UUGUCUGGUAGAAUUUGGAUAUAGCAGGAGUUAGAGUGACUGCCGUGGAACCCAUCCCUAUGCGUACCAAGUGCGCCGCCGCCAGAUGAAUGAAUCGGGUGCGCUGAUUGGUGCAGGAUGCUGUCUACAAAAGGAUUUAUUCCAUGAUGAGCAGGAUGUGUACCGUAGCUAAAGGGUAAUUAGCCUUUUACUAUUGUUUUACAAAAGUGAUCGUACAGGUAUAGCAGCACUAUAUCACAA
Molecule: long non-coding RNA, 240 nt
Organism: Phragmites australis (common reed)
Lineage: Eukaryota; Viridiplantae; Streptophyta; Magnoliopsida; Poales; Poaceae
Exons: 2
Source: RefSeq, a predicted model, not a curated record